Molecule: ribosomal RNA, 253 nt
Filed under: uncultured bacterium
Lineage: Bacteria
Description: partial 16S ribosomal RNA
Rfam family: Bacterial small subunit ribosomal RNA
Source: RNAcentral
UACAGAGGUCUCAAGCGUUGUUCGGAUUCAUUGGGCGUAAAGGGUGUGUAGGUGGCGCGCUAAGUCGGGUGUGAAAUUUCGGAGCUUAACUCCGAAACUGCAUUCGAUACUGGCGUGCUUGAGGACUGGAGAGGAGACUGGAAUUUACGGUGUAGCAGUGAAAUGCGUAGAUAUCGUAAGGAAGACCAGUGGCGAAGGCGGGUCUCUGGGCAGUAACUGACGCUGAGGAGCGAAAGCGUGGGGAGCGAACAGG